GAGUUUGAUCCUGGCUCAGAACGAACGCUGGCGGCAGGCCUAAUACAUGCAAGUCGAGCGCGCCCUUCGGGGUGAGCGGCGGACGGGUGAGUAACGCGUGGGAAUAUGCCCUUCUCUAAGGAAUAGCCUCUGGAAACGGAGAGUAAUACCUUAUACGCCCUUUGGGGGAAAGAUUUAUCGGAGAAGGAUUAGCCCGCGUUAGAUUAGGUAGUUGGUGGGGUAAUGGCCUACCAAGCCUACGAUCUAUAGCUGGUUUGAGAGGAUGAUCAGCCACACUGGGACUGAGACACGGCCCAGACUCCUACGGGAGGCAGCAGUAGGGAAUCUUAGACAAUGGGCGCAAGCCUGAUCCAGCCAUACCGCGUGUGUGAAGAAGGCCCUAGGGUUGUAAAGCACUUUAAGUUGGGAAGAAAAGUUAUUGGCUAAUACCCAAUGACCGUGACAUUACCAUCAGAAUAAGGACCGGCUAAUUCCGUGCCAGCAGCCGCGGUAAUACGGAAGGUCCAAGCGUUAAUCGGAAUUACUGGGCGUAAAGCGCGCGUAGGUGGUUUAUUAAGUUGGAUGUGAAAUCCCCGGGCUCAACCUGGGAACUGCAUCCAAAACUGAUUCACUAGAGUACGAUAGAGGGAGGUAGAAUUCACAGUGUAGCGGUGGAAUGCGUAGAUAUUGUGAAGAAUACCAAUGGCGAAGGCAGCCUCCUGGAUCUGUACUGACACUGAGGUGCGAAAGCGUGGGUAGCGAACAGGAUUAGAUACCCUGGUAGUCCACGCCGUAAACGAUGUCAACUAGCUGUUGGAAAGCAUUGCUUUUCAGUGGCGCAGCUAACGUAGUAAGUUGACCGCCUGGGGAGUACGGCCGCAAGGUUAAAACUCAAAUGAAUUGACGGGGACCCGCACAAGUAGUGGAGCAUGUGGUUUAAUUCGAAGAUACGCGCAGAACCUUACCAACACUUGACAUGUUCGUCGCGACUCUAAGAGAUUAGAGUUUUCGGUUCGGCCGGACGAAACACAGGUGCUGCAUGGCUGUCGUCAGCUCGUGUCGUGAGAUGUUGGGUUAAGUCCCGCAACGAGCGCAACCCUCACUUUUAGUUGCCAUCAUUAAGUUGGGCACUCUGAAAGAACUGCCAGUGAUAAGCUGGAGGAAGGUGGGGAUGACGUCAAGUCCUCAUGGCCCUUACGUGUUGGGCUACACACGUGCUACAAUGGUAUCUACAACAGGAAGCAAGACUGCGAAGUUAAGCAAAUCCCUAAAAGAUACCUCAGUUCGGAUUGCACUCUGCAACUCGAGUGCAUGAAGCUGGAAUUACUAGUAAUCGUGGAUCAGCGUGCCACGGUGAAUGCGUUCCCGGGUCUUGUACACACCGCCCGUCACACCAUGGGAGUUGGUUCUACCUUAAGGCAAGGUUUCAAACCCUUGACCACGGUAUAGUCAGCGACUGGGGUGAAGUCGUAACAAGGUAACC
This 1462-nucleotide ribosomal RNA is filed under the name uncultured marine bacterium. Its description in RNAcentral is "16S ribosomal RNA". It matches the Rfam family "Bacterial small subunit ribosomal RNA". The record is from RNAcentral.